Molecule: long non-coding RNA, 1841 nt
Organism: Oncorhynchus tshawytscha (Chinook salmon)
Lineage: Eukaryota; Metazoa; Chordata; Actinopteri; Salmoniformes; Salmonidae
Source: Ensembl
GUGAGUUGGAAGCAGAAGUUACAGUCUAUGAAUUUGAACAUGGUUAUUUUUCUAUAGACCCAUCCCUCAUCUUUUUACUGAUAUAGUUGCGGGGAGUACGCUUUGUUUUAAUUGCUGAUUGGCGCUUUAAGGCUAAAUUCAAAGUUAAACCCUUUGUAGGAGCAUAGUUAUAUCUCUGAGUUGUUUCCCCAAAGCCAUCGUUACUAAAGUUGUACUUGAAAACACUGGUAAGUAAACGACUGCCUCAGACCACUCAUAGAACAGGUAAGUGCUUUGUGCCCUCCUGUGUCACUUGCACACAUUAGAUCUCAGCUAAACAUCGAAUCAAAAAGUUUAUCGUCUCUCUGUGACCUCAAAUAAAUACCAAGAUUGCAAUUUUAUAAACAAGCGAAGCAAGGACGAGGGCAAAAGAUCUAAUGACGCACUUAACUGUUCUAUGAGUAGUCUGAGGCAGUUGUUAAAUUAAGAGCGUUUUCAAGUGCAACGUCACUGGCAAUGGUUUUACUGAAAAAUAUUUAAGAUUCAAAGAUGGUCCUCCAAUGGUUCUAACAAUGGAAUGAAGCCUUGUUUUGGGGAAACCUGGCCCAGGGCAGACAGUGUCUUGGGACAUAUUUGCAGUGAUGCACUACCAAAUGUUCCACUUGUUUUGUUAGUUACUCAAUGUCAGAUAGCUGAAACUGUGGGGAGAAACUCAGUGAAGGCCAUGGAGCUUUCUGAAAGUGAGAUAGAGAUGACACUGCCACCUAGUAACAAACGAUUUAGGUCAUUGAAUUCAAAUAUGAGCAACUUGAAGUGUUUUGAGCCUUCGUGCGAGGGGAGGAUGAGGCGGUUGUGCCAACAGGCUUUGGGAAAAGCCUAAUUUACCAGCUAGCUAGUUCUCGUCUUCAAGAAACUACAAAAACAGCCUCCAAUUCUGCCAGUCGUGUCCCAGCUAAAGUCUGUGGUGGACGGAGGACCAAAUCCACAAGGCAACAGCCCCGGGUCUUAGAGCGGUGGUUGUGUAGAAAGACAAGAACACUAUAUGGGAGGAUUCAUGCAACUUUGUCUUUGGAAGUCCAGAGAGCUGGAUGGAGAAGACCGGGAAAGAUGUGUUGGCCCCAAUCCUAUACAGCUCCAAUAUUGUCGGAAUCGUUGUGGAUGAAGUCCAUAUGAUAUACAAAUGGUAGGCCAGUUGAGAACAAGUUCGGACUGAAGGAGGAAGUCAUAUUUGAACUAUUAAAACCAAUGUCCGUGGUUAAAGUCACAUUAAAACAUGAAUAAAGCAGAAAAUAGCCCAUUUUAAUAAUAUGGCCCCCAAAAUGAAUUUAUAAAUAUCCAAAUGGCCCUUGAUGGCAAAAAGGUUCCCCACCCCUGUUUUAGGGAAUAGUACCUGUAAUCCAGUACAGAAGUUGGGACGGAAGUGCCCAUGCACUAAACCGCCUCAAAAGAAGAAUUAGCCUCGGAUGAAGACAUAAGACUUAAAAGAGCUAGUGUAGCCUGAACAGUACACUUAAGCUAGAAGACAAUUCGAGCACAGCCUUUGCGAAGGAGCAGCAUAAAGAAGGAACCCCAACUCAACCAGAAAGGACACACAGCCAUCUUCUUCCUUUGUUCUACUCCAUGCAUCCUGAACAAUCAAGAAGCCAAGACAGACUUUGAUCAUCAGACUGAGUCUCCUGAGUAUAACAUCAUUUAAAGUUCAGGAUUUCGAGGUCUUCACUUCUUAUCUUUCAUUAUAUUUCCUAUUUUAUGAUCAUUCUCAUUAUGUUAGUAAAUAUUUUGAUGAGUUAUUAAAUGUUGAUUGUAUAAAUCAAAUAAUUCAUACCUUCAGAUUAAUCAAUGUGUUACUAUUAUCAUAGGUG